Molecule: small nuclear RNA, 56 nt
Filed under: Cervus elaphus hippelaphus
Lineage: Eukaryota; Metazoa; Chordata; Mammalia; Artiodactyla; Cervidae
Source: RNAcentral
CUUGCUUUAGCAGCACAUGUACUAAAAUUGGAACAAGAUAGAGAAGAUGAGCAUAG